Molecule: long non-coding RNA, 512 nt
Filed under: Vigna radiata
Lineage: Eukaryota; Viridiplantae; Streptophyta; Magnoliopsida; Fabales; Fabaceae
Description: long non-coding RNA (VRAD_LNC017232)
Source: RNAcentral
GGCCAAAUAGACAAUCUUGCACCUCUCAAAUUUCCCUACAUGCACCUCUCUUUUCUAAACCAAGCCAAUUCUAAAGCCCAACACUAACCCUUUUCUACUACACCCCCCUAAGUCUUAUAUUCCUACCCCUCAUAAAUCAUAUUCCACCAGAUUCUGUCACAUGUUCAAAUCCUCCACUCACAGAUCAAACCACCCAGAUGAUGCCACAUCACCGAUCCUUGUACUCACUAGAGAACCAACCAGAUUGUGCCACAUCCUCACCCAUGACACAUCAGCCCUGCCACGUCAACAUCUUCUUCAACCUUUCUCUAAUCAGAAACCCUAGUUCUAAACCCUAGUUACCAUGCGCUGCCACCGCCAGUCUCUCGUCGGACCACCACGCCGUUCAUCACCACCGUCACCUUGCUACCGCAACCAUCUCCCUCGGUCUCCAUCUUCCUCGCCAGAAUCGCAAAUCUCCACUGCAGAAUCGUCCACCAUAGUGCCAGCACCAUGGGCAAUCUCUUAUCACC